Molecule: ribosomal RNA, 492 nt
Filed under: uncultured bacterium
Lineage: Bacteria
Description: partial 16S ribosomal RNA
Rfam family: Bacterial small subunit ribosomal RNA
Source: RNAcentral
AGUGAACGCUGGCGGUAGGCCUAACACAUGCAAGUCGAACGGCAGCACAGUAAGAGCUUGCUCUUACGGGUGGCGAGUGGCGGACGGGUGAGGAAUACAUCGGAAUCUACUUUUUCGUGGGGGAUAACGUAGGGAAACUUACGCUAAUACCGCAUACGACCUACGGGUGAAAGCAGGGGAUCUUCGGACCUUGCGCGAUUGAAUGAGCCGAUGUCGGAUUAGCUAGUUGGCGGGGUAAAGGCCCACCAAGGCGACGAUCCGUGGCUGGUCUGAGAGGAUGAUCAGCCACACUGGAACUGGGACACGGUCCAGACUCCUACGGGAGGCAGCAGUGGGGAAUAUUGGACAAUGGGCGCAAGCCUGAUCCAGCCAUACCGCGUGGGUGAAGAAGGCCUUCGGGUUGUAAAGCCCUUUUGUUGGGAAAGAAAAGCAGCAGGUUAAUACCCCGCUGUUCUGACGGUACCCAAAGAAUAAGCACCGGCUAGCUUCGUG